This 82-nucleotide ribosomal RNA is filed under the name Delftia sp. 60. Its description in RNAcentral is "partial 23S ribosomal RNA". It matches the Rfam family "Bacterial large subunit ribosomal RNA", at positions 2845 to 2925 of the family's 2925-position model. Lineage: Bacteria; Pseudomonadati; Pseudomonadota; Betaproteobacteria; Burkholderiales; Comamonadaceae. The record is from RNAcentral.
CCAGGACGUUGAUAGGCUGGGUGUGGAAGCGCAGUAAUGCGUUAAGCUAACCAGUACUAAUUGCUCGUGAGGCUUGACCCUA